This 497-nucleotide ribosomal RNA is filed under the name uncultured bacterium. Its description in RNAcentral is "partial 16S ribosomal RNA". It matches the Rfam family "Bacterial small subunit ribosomal RNA", at positions 28 to 507 of the family's 1533-position model. The record is from RNAcentral.
GAUGAACGCUGGCGGCGUGCCUAAUACAUGCAAGUCGAGCGAACGGACGAGAAGCUUGCUUCUCUGAUGUUAGCGGCGGACGGGUGAGUAACACGUGGAUAACCUACCUAUAAGACUGGGAUAACUUCGGGAAACCGUAUCUAAUACCGGAUAAUAUUUUGAACCGCAUGGUUCAAAAGUGAAAGACGGUCUUGCUGUCACUUAUAGAUGGAUCCGCGCUGCAUUAGCUAGUUGGUAAGGUAACGGCUUACCAAGGCAACGAUGCAUAGCCGACCUGAGAGGGUGAUCGGCCACACUGGAACGGAGACACGGACCAGACUCCUACGGGAGGCAGCAGUAGGGAAUCUUCCGCAAUGGGCGAAAGCCUGACGGAGCAACGCCGCGUGAGUGAUGAAGGUCUUCGGAUCGUAAAACUCUGUUAUGAGGGAAGAACAGAUGUGUAAGUAACUGUGCACAUCUUGACGGUACCUAAUCAGAAAGCAACGGCUAACUACGUG